RNAcentral lists this transfer RNA (68 nucleotides) under Marmota monax (woodchuck). RNAcentral describes it as "tRNA.Val". Lineage: Eukaryota; Metazoa; Chordata; Mammalia; Rodentia; Sciuridae. The record is from RNAcentral.
CUUGUGGCUCAGUGGUAGAGCACUUUCCUCACACAUGCGAGGCCCUGGGUUCGAUUCUCAGCACCACA